AAUGAGAAGCUUGAGCUGAUGGGC
This 24-nucleotide small RNA is filed under the name Arabidopsis thaliana (thale cress). Lineage: Eukaryota; Viridiplantae; Streptophyta; Magnoliopsida; Brassicales; Brassicaceae. The record is from RNAcentral.